GAUCCUGGCUCAGAUUGAACGCUGGCGGCAGGCUUAACACAUGCAAGUCGAGCGGGGAAGGUUGCUUCGGUAACUGACCUAGCGGCGGACGGGUGAGUAAUGCUUAGGAAUCUACCUAUUAGUGGGGGACAACGUUCCGAAAGGAAUGCUAAUACCGCAUACGUCCUACGGGAGAAAGCAGGGGAUCUUCGGACCUUGCGCUAAUAGAUGAGCCUAAGUCGGAUUAGCUAGUUGGUGGGGUAAAGGCCUACCAAGGCGACG
Molecule: ribosomal RNA, 261 nt
Filed under: uncultured bacterium
Lineage: Bacteria
Description: partial 16S ribosomal RNA
Rfam family: Bacterial small subunit ribosomal RNA
Source: RNAcentral